Molecule: transfer RNA, 73 nt
Filed under: Ictidomys tridecemlineatus (thirteen-lined ground squirrel)
Lineage: Eukaryota; Metazoa; Chordata; Mammalia; Rodentia; Sciuridae
Description: Spermophilus tridecemlineatus (thirteen-lined ground squirrel) tRNA
Rfam family: tRNA
About the family: Transfer RNA (tRNA) molecules are approximately 80 nucleotides in length. Their secondary structure includes four short double-helical elements and three loops (D, anti-codon, and T loops).
Source: Rfam by way of RNAcentral
GGGGAUGUAGCUCGGUUGGUAGAGUGCUUGCCUAGCAUGCACAAGGCCCCUGGUUUAAUCCCCAGCAUCACCA